RNAcentral lists this ribosomal RNA (253 nucleotides) under uncultured bacterium. RNAcentral's name for it is "partial 16S ribosomal RNA". It matches the Rfam family "Bacterial small subunit ribosomal RNA", at positions 524 to 776 of the family's 1533-position model. The record is from RNAcentral.
UACGUAGGGCGCAAGCGUUGUCCGGAAUUACUGGGCGUAAAGCGUGCGCAGGCGGUUUUGUAAGCCAGAUGUGAAAUCCCCGGGCUUAACCUGGGAAUGGCAUUUGGGACUGCAAGGCUUGAGUGCGGCAGAGGAGACUGGAAUUCCUGGUGUAGCAGUGAAAUGCGUAGAUAUCAGGAGGAAUACCGAUGGCGAAGGCAGGUCUCUGGGCUGACACUGACGCUCAUGCACGAAAGCGUGGGGAGCAAACAGG